CGAUUGGAUGAAAAAUAAACUUUAUUAAUUAAAAUUAUUUAAUUUAUCAUUUAAGUAAAAAUUCUUAAAUUUGUGAGUGGGACGAGAAGACCCUAUAGAGUUUUAUUUUUUUUGUUGUUAUUAAAUUAAAGAAUUAAUAUUUUGAUGAAAACAGAAAAUAUUUUGUUGGGGUGACAUUAAAAAUUUUUAAACUUUUAAUUAUUAAUUUCAUUAAUGUAUGAUUUUAUUGAUCCAAAAUUUUUGAUUAUAAGAUUAAAUUACCUUAGGGAUAACAGCGUUAUUAAUUUGGAGAGUUCAAAUCGAUAAAUUAGUUUGCGACCUCGAUGUUGGAUUAAGAAAA
RNAcentral lists this ribosomal RNA (340 nucleotides) under Soudaniella marshalli. RNAcentral describes it as "partial 16S ribosomal RNA". Lineage: Eukaryota; Metazoa; Arthropoda; Insecta; Hemiptera; Cicadidae. The record is from RNAcentral.